This 1193-nucleotide long non-coding RNA is filed under the name Amborella trichopoda. RNAcentral's name for it is "long non-coding RNA (ATRI_LNC005026)". Lineage: Eukaryota; Viridiplantae; Streptophyta; Magnoliopsida; Amborellales; Amborellaceae. The record is from RNAcentral.
UUUACUGGUCAUAACUUGCCAAUGGGAACUCCAAAUCACAUUGAAGCACCACCAGUGCGUUGGGGAGAAUUUUCCACGUGAUCCGGUGUGGUGUGGGUUUCUGAGCUGCAAGAUGUGUAAGUGUUUGAAAGGCUAUUGCGCCGCAGUAUGUGGUGCAGGAGUCUUUCUCUCUCGAAUUGAUUGAAAACUUUCCUAUUUCUUGAAUAAGUUUGUUUCUUGGUUUGGAAAGUUCUCUGCAUCUCUAUAAAAUGGCCUUAAGGCCAUACCUUGAUCUUUAUCCUUGUGUUCUCAACUCCCUUAAUCUUUUACUUUAAGCACCUUUAUCUCCAACCUUCAUUAUUGAGCUUUGCCUUCAUGUCUUCCAGGAAGCGUACUAUUAUCAUUAAUGAUUCUGAUUUGGAGGCUUAGUCCUUCUCAAAGUAUAAAAUUUUCGCUUGUACCGCUUGUAAGCCUCAUUCAUCACCAUCUUCAUCUUCUUAUGCUUCGUCAUCGUCAUCAUUUUCUUCGUCUAAUGGAUGGGGAUAUGUGGAUCGCAAGAACGACGACAUCUUAGACUAUCUCCUUAACUUUGCAAACAAGCAGACUGAAAGUCUUACCACUAUUAAAGAUCAUUUUCUAGGCAAAAUAAGGUCCAUAGAGCUUCUUGAAAGCUAACUCGAUCUUAAAGACUACAUGAUUGCUUCAAGGGAUACCGAGCUUCCUGCUGAGGAUGGAGAGAUCGCGCAUCUCAGAGAGGAACUUAAGGAGGCUUGUAAAAACUGUGCUUCCAUAAGAAGAGGGCUUCGAGCUCUUCAUCCACUUAAACAGAGUUUUUCACUUUUGUUUUGCUUUUUUACUUUGUUGCUCUGAAUGUUGGCAACGAUCCAAAAUAAGGUCGUAGCCUUUAGGAUUUUCACCUUCUUCUCUUCUUUAUUUCUGUCCGGAUCAUCGUAAGGUCUCAAAGACCAUUUUGAUGUAAUAAUCCCGGCAUUCUUGCAGAUUUGGAAAUUAAUGGAACUUGGAUUUUCAAUUAUUUUGAAAUAAACUUAAGGAGGUUGCUUCUAUCUAAGUACACAUCGGAUAAUUGGACGCCCCAGUAGUGGGUGUAAUCAAGAGGUAGACAAUUGGGGUUCAGCUUCAUGGGCUUAUGGAGUUCUAGAAUCCCAAAUUCACGAGCUAAUGCGAGCUUGUUUCGGUUUGUUUUUCUAUAAAAG